CACGUGGGCAACCUGCCCUGCAGAUUGGGAUAACUCCGGGAAACCGGGGCUAAUACCGAAUAACAAAAAGAAUCUCCUGAUUCUUUUUUGAAAGGCGGCUUUUAGCUGUCACUGCAGGAUGGGCCCGCGGCGCAUUAGCUAGUUGGUGAGGUAACGGCUCACCAAGGCAACGAUGCGUAGCCGACCUGAGAGGGUGAUCGGCCACACUGGGACUGAGACACGGCCCAGACUCCUACGGGAGGCAGCAGUAGGGAAUCUUCCGCAAUGGACGAAAGUCUGACGGAGCAACGCCGCGUGAGUGAAGAAGGUUUUCGGAUCGUAAAGCUCUGUUGUCAGGGAAGAACAAGUACCAUAGUAACUGAUGGUACCUUGACGGUACCUGACCAGAAAGCCACGGCUAACUACGUGCCAGCAGCCGCGGUAAUACGUAGGUGGCAAGCGUUGUCCGGAAUUAUUGGGCGUAAAGCGCGCGCAGGUGGUUCCAAAAGUCUGAUGUGAAAGCCCCCGGCUCAACCGGGGAGGGUCAUUGGAAACUGGGGAACUUGAGUGCAGGAGAGGAA
RNAcentral lists this ribosomal RNA (560 nucleotides) under Jeotgalibacillus sp. NH89-9. RNAcentral's name for it is "bacterial SSU rRNA". It matches the Rfam family "Bacterial small subunit ribosomal RNA", at positions 114 to 659 of the family's 1533-position model. The record is from RNAcentral. Lineage: Bacteria; Bacillati; Bacillota; Bacilli; Caryophanales; Caryophanaceae.